UUUAAAGAAAGCGUAAUAGCUCACUGGUCGAGUCGGCCUGCGCGGAAGAUGUAACGGGGCUAAACCAUGCACCGAAGCUGCGGCAGCGACGCUUAUGCGUUGUUGGGUAGGGGAGCGUUCUGUAAGCCGUUGAAGGUGUCCUGUGAGGGGUGCUGGAGGUAUCAGAAGUGCGAAUGCUGACAUAAGUAACGAUAAAGCGGGUGAAAAGCCCGCUCGCCGGAAGACCAAGGGUUCCUGUCCAACGU
RNAcentral lists this ribosomal RNA (245 nucleotides) under Enterobacter hormaechei subsp. hoffmannii. Its description in RNAcentral is "partial 23S ribosomal RNA". It matches the Rfam family "Bacterial large subunit ribosomal RNA", at positions 1122 to 1365 of the family's 2925-position model. Lineage: Bacteria; Pseudomonadati; Pseudomonadota; Gammaproteobacteria; Enterobacterales; Enterobacteriaceae. The record is from RNAcentral.